ACGAACGCUGGCGGCAUGCCUAACCCAUGCAAGUCGAACGAGACCUUCGGGUCUAGUGGCGCACGGGUGCGUAACGCGUGGGAAUCUGCCCUUGGGUUCGGAAUAACAGUUGGAAACGACUGCUAAUACCGGAUGAUGACGUAAGUCCAAAGAUUUAUCGCCCAAGGAUGAGCCCGCGUAGGAUUAGCUAGUUGGUGAGGUAAAGGCUCACCAAGGCGACGAUCCUUAGCUGGUCUGAGAGGAUGAUCAGCCACACUGGGACUGAGACACGGCCCAGACUCCUACGGGAGGCAGAAGUGGGGAAUAUUGGACAAUGGGCGAAAGCCUGAUCCAGCAAUGCCGCGUGAGUGAUGAAGGCCUUAGGGUUGUAAAGCUCUUUUACCCGGGAUGAUAAUGACAGUACCGGGAGAAUAAGCUCCGGCUAACUCCGUG
This 432-nucleotide ribosomal RNA is filed under the name uncultured bacterium. RNAcentral's name for it is "partial 16S ribosomal RNA". It matches the Rfam family "Bacterial small subunit ribosomal RNA", at positions 29 to 507 of the family's 1533-position model. The record is from RNAcentral.